Long non-coding RNA from Melospiza melodia melodia, 491 nucleotides. RefSeq lists it as uncharacterized. The record is from RefSeq and is a predicted model, not a curated record. The transcript has 4 exons. Lineage: Eukaryota; Metazoa; Chordata; Aves; Passeriformes; Passerellidae.
UGAUGGCCUCAGCUGGGCUGAUUCACGCUGGUGGAGGCUCCUACCCACAGCCAUCCCACACACAAACGCCAUCCCACCGUUCCUGAGAGACUGGUCAGGGCAAUUGGGAUGGAGAUAAAUAUGGGGGGGAAAAGCAAAAAGUAAAAAAAAAAAAUUUCCUGUUCCAUUUAAGUAUCUGGGAAAAACAGCUUUUUGUUCAUGGUUCUCAGUGUACCCCAGCAGGAUGAAUGGUGUCCUCCUUGUCCAGCACUGUGAGCAGUUGCAGAGAAGAGCCAUUUGCAUUGCUGAUGUCCAAGUCUGACAUUCAAAGGAGCUGCUGGAGGAAUUUCGGAAGGAGCUGCACAAAAUGAAGGAGGAGAUCAUCCAAGUGCUGCUGACAGAGCUGAGGAAGCCAAACAGGCCCUGAGCCCUCUCCACACCAAGCCACGCCCCCAAUUUUCGGGGGGUGGAGGAUGGGUCAGCCCCCUCCCCCUCAACCCCUUCCCCACCCC